Molecule: ribosomal RNA, 406 nt
Filed under: uncultured bacterium
Lineage: Bacteria
Description: partial 16S ribosomal RNA
Rfam family: Bacterial small subunit ribosomal RNA
Source: RNAcentral
AUUGAACGCUGGCGGCAGGCCUAACACAUGCAAGUCGAGCGAGCGGCGGACGGGGGAGUAAUGUCUGGGAAAAUGCGUGAUGGAGGGGGAUAACUACGGGAAAAGGUAGCUAAUACCGCAUACCAUCAGAUGUGCGAAGAUGGGAUUAGCUCGUAGGUGGGGUAACGGCUCACCUAGUCGACGAACCCUAGAUGGUCUGAGAGGGUGACCAGCCACACUGGAACUGAGACACGGCCCAGACUCCUACGGGAGGCAGCAGUGGGGAAUUUUGGACAAUGGGGGAAACCCUGAUCCAGCCAUCCCGCGUGUGCGAUGAAGGCCUUCGGGUUGUAAAGCACUUUUGGCAGGAAAGCGGUACCUGCAGAAUAAGCACCGGCUAACUACGUGCCAGCAGCCGCGGUAAUAC